RNAcentral lists this long non-coding RNA (42576 nucleotides) under Triticum aestivum (bread wheat). Its description in RNAcentral is "long non-coding RNA (TAES_LNC006367)". The stretch from base 35340 to 35465 matches the Rfam family "MIR1120/MIR1122 microRNA precursor family". Lineage: Eukaryota; Viridiplantae; Streptophyta; Magnoliopsida; Poales; Poaceae. The record is from RNAcentral.
UUAAAAAAAGUUAUGGUUGGAUGGGCAAAUAUCUAUCUUAUGGGGGGAGUUGAUUUUGUUGUGCACUUGUGUGGCUAGUAUCCCUGCUUAUCUUAUAUCUCUUAUCAAAUUCCCUAAAUGGGUUCUAAAUGCUACCUCUUCCCAAAUGACCCAUUUUUCUGGGGCAAUAUGGUUGAUGUUCAGAAGUAUAUCAUUUAGCUCAUUGGGGCCUUGUGGCAAGAAAAAUGGUUUUUGGUGGUUUGGGAGUCCUUAAUAUGACAAAUUUCAACAUGGCUUUGUUAACUUCUUGGGGUAAAAGGUUCUUUGAUGGCGGGGACAAAAAUUGGCAGAAGAUGUUUUAUUUUAAAUAUGGCACAAGCAAACCUAAUAUUGUGUGGGCUAAAUCAUGGGUUGGUUCUCCCUUCUGGAAGGGAUUAACCUGGGCCCUUUCUGCCUCUAGGUGUGUUUAUAGAUGGAAAAAUAAUUGGUAAUGGAUCUCAUAUUAAUUUCUGCAUGAUAUUUGGGUGGGAUUGUUCCCUUAAGACUCAGUUCUAGGAACUUUUCAAAACUUGCAAUCAACAAAAUGUCUUUGUUGCCCAUGUGUGGGAUGUGACUGAUCUGCACCUUAGCUUUAGGAGACAUGUAGAUGAGGUGUUGUUUGGUAAAUGGCUUUGCCUUCUUGGCUAUCUACAGUUUGUUGUUCUAUUGACUGAAUAUGAUACCCUAUUUGGAUGCUUGAUCCGCCUGGAUGAGUUUUUAUAAAAUCUUUCUACCAUACCAUCAACUUUGGGGGUGUUGUGCAUCAUUUGAAUGAUUCGAUGUGGAAAAUCAUUUGUCCCAAAAAAUAAUAUCUUUUUUGGCUGGUCACCAAUAAUAAAGUUUUGACUUGACACAAUCUUGCGAAAAGGCAUAUUGUGGAUGAUGCUACUUGUUUUUUCUGUUGUGAACCAGAAUCGAUUAGGCACCUGUUCUUUGAGUGAGUGGUGGCUAGAUUUAUUUGGCAAUUUGUUGUUGGUUGGUUUGCCCUCCUCUUGUAGAACCAGCCACAUAUUUAUAUCAGAGUCGGUGUUGUAAAACAUAUAUGUUUUAAUUUGGUUAGUGAUGCCUCCUUGUGGAGUCUUUUUGUUUAAGGAUUGAGUUUUUGCUUUCAGGGCCGAUCCUACAUAAGUGUGCGCUAUAUCCUGGGCCCGCUGGUUGCCAUGCUUCAUCAAUAGAAACUGAUUUGCAACGACAAGUAAUCGGAAUUGUUGAUAUGGUGUAUACGACUGCGUGCCUGUUAAUGCAACUGCCGAAGAACGUCGUUAGUUCUUGAUCUCCUACGGUUUCAAGGCAGAAGAUUCAUGACGUAGGUCAGGGCUCUGAUGUUUGGUUAGUUGUUUGUAUUUUCAAGAAACUUGUGUAAUAAAUUUCUGUCAUGCUGUACUUUUGCCUAUGAUGCCCUGGUUUUGCUACUCAAGCACGCCUGGUCGUUAUAAUGACUUUUGGUGAUUUUAGUUCAGACUCAUAACAUGAAGGACUCCAACGAUGGUGGUAAAACCGACGUGAAAGCUUUUGGGGUCGACUCAACACAAGAGAUAACAUGAUUCGAAAACAUUGGUCCCUACUUACCGAGCACCAGGACUAUGACAUUUGCCCUGCCAGCGAGUCUGUCAGCCACAUUGUUCUGCGCUGCUUCCCGGCUUCUGUUAUCUGGGCCACGUUCCAUAUGAACGACCUUGCCUCUAGCUCCACGGACAUCGUUCAUUUUAUGCACAGAGCUCAACAGGCUUGGAUCAACUCUAGAGGAGUGCACAUUCUUUUCGCUGUGGCGGCAGUUACUCUCUGGCAUGCGAGAAACAACAGAAUCUUCAACAACAAAAGAUGGCCCCCGUCCUAUCUCAGAAGGUAUAUGUCACAACUCCUUUAGGCUUGGCAGCACCGGGCAAAACAGCAGGCUGACAAGGAUGCUAUUACGAGAUGGAUGUAUCUCCUGAGCUAAUUUAGCUUUGUAGUACUCUUCUUCUCUCCUCUCUUGCCCUGUUCUUCUCUCUCUCCAAUGGCUGCUUAUAGCCAUGGCACUACGGUGCUCAAUGUAAGCUUCAUGUAACUGACCCUUUGGUCCCAGGCCUUGGCCUGUUUGAAAUAUAUGAGGUAGAAUCUCAUCUACCUUUCAUUUCAAAAAAAAAAACCCAAUAUACGUGCUGCAAUUCCUCCUUCUCUCUGGUGGAUAGAUUUUGCUAUUGUAAGUCUUGCUCGUUGUUGCCACCAGUAAUCUAGUAUGUUGGUAUGAAGCAAGAUGAAUGGUGCACUCCACCCACGGUAUAUUAUUCAGACAUCAAACACGCCUGGUGGAUAAUGACAGAAGGGCACAUACAAAAUGACACAACAAAUCCAGGCAACGAAUCAAAACAAAAAGAAAAAAGAGAAUAAACUGAAAGAAAAAAGGGUUCAUACGAAACCCCAUCGUGUGAGGGGGGUACGCGCCUGGUCGCUCGCGCGCAACCUGCUCGCCGAAUAAUAGGCACCACAAUUUUAUUUUAUUUUUUGAGAAAAGUAGGCGCCCCAAUUAGGAGGUCUCCAGGAUUAGGGCAGGACUGCAGCGUGAAAAAAGCUCAGGCGUCGAGCGUGGGCUGGUAGCCUGGCGGCCCAUUUGGUUGUCUUCUUGUUUAACUGGUGCAACAUACUGUAGCAACCACUUUUCUUUUUAUUUGGUUAUAUCUUUGGUGCUUUCGAUUUCCAUUAUUUUUUAUGAAACGCCAAUAAUUUUAAAUUAAAUUUUUUAAUAAACGAGAACAUUUCGUGAGUAAGUUUUGUAGAGAUUUAAAAAACAUAUGUGAACAUUUUUCUAAUUCACGAACAUAUCUUUAUAAAAUGCAAAUGCUUUUUUUAUUUCGAAAAAAAAUUAUAAACCACAAAAAAAAUUCUAAUUCAUUACUGAAUUUUCAAAUUCUUGAAACACAAAUUUUUAUUUGAAUUUUCAUAAAUUCAUAAAUAGUUUUAAACCUGUAAUCAUUAUUAAAUUUUGGGAACAUUUAUUAUAAAAAGCAAACAUUUUUUAGAUUCGUGAAGUUUUUUUUCUUUUGAAAUAGAAUUUAUGGAAAAAUAUGAUUUUUUUUAUAAAAGGAAUAACAAACGUGCAAAAACUAGAAGGAAAAGAGCAAACCAACCAAAAAAGACCGGAAAUAGAUAAUUUGACAUAUUUGUGACAUCUUUGUCCUGCAUGCUUUUUGUAACUUUGGCCAUCAAUUGGACCAGUAAUACAUUAAUACAUAAGUUAUGUAGCGUAAAAUGUAUACCUUUGAAAAAAAAUGUAGGCAAUCCUGCUUACACUUUAGAAGUUUCUAAAAAUAUGUUUAUCUAAUCAUAGACUAGAAAUAAAUAUCAAGAUAUUUGUGUUGAUUGCUUUAGAUAUCUCUAAUAUAAUAUUUAAGUUUAUUAAAAUAUACACACAAACAUACAAUUCACAAUUUGCGGUUUAUGUAAUUAUAAAUAAUAAUUUAUUUUUUUAUAAAUUUUUGUUUACAAUUAGCACAAUGUAACUGUAUUUCGCAAGGACAUACACAAUAAUCGUGUAACAUUAUAACUAAUAUUUAGCAAUAUUGUUAACAUGGUUUAGUAUGCUAACUUGUCUAAUUUUACUCUAUGAGAACAUUGUUAUAAUAUAAUAAAGAAAAUAAGUUGUUUGAAGGUAUAAAAGCUUAUUAUAAAAUAUAUUUAUUUUAUUUUUCUUAAGUACAACAUUGAGUGUUAUAAAUGGUAAAGGACAGUUAGUGUCCAAAAGAGCGCUCGGAGCGGUCGUCAUGCCAUGGUCCAAAGUAGUAGACGAGGACAAACAAAGAUUGAUGUAAGCCAAACUAAAGUAUGAGUUAAUGAUAAGAGAUAUAUCUUUUUCUUGAACUGUACACACAAAUAGACCCUAUUAUUUUUCAUAUCGUAUUUCUUUUCGAACGACCACUAUACCCUUGCAUAAAGAAUUACGGCAAUGUAUAUGUAGGCAACAUAGUUAUAUAAAGUGUUUUAUUGAAAAUGAAGUUUGGGUGAGCGCCUACCUCGCCCUACUGGCUCCUCCGCCUGUUGUCCAAAGCCUGAUGCAACUUAAAUAGUGAACCGGAUCAUUUUUAUUUUUGUUUUGUACUCACAAUACAAUUUAUUUUAUACUAUGUUAUUUAUAUUGGCAACUUAGUCUUUUUUAUAGCUUUAUUUGGUGACAGUUGAAAGACAUCAUUUAUUUAUUUUAUGUUGGUAUCUUAAACAUUUUUACAGUUGUCUACAAUUCAUUUAAAAUGUGUAUUUUGAUAAGAAUGGCAAACAAUUAAGGUACUAAUUUAUGUGCCAAGUGUUAAAGCAGAUUUUAGUCACAAGUGUCAAAGUUGCCUAGCGUCAAAGACCUCCCAAAAAAGAAAAGAAAAGGAAAAUAACGGUUUCAGCAGAUUAUUCAUAAUUCUAUGUUGUCCGGUGAUCUUAUGAUAUUGUCAUUGAAUCAUUAGACAUGCCACACUAUUAAAAGGGGGCAAAGAUGUCGAAGUUGUUUGCUCGGUGCCAAGCAUACUCAUCUAGACACCCACACGCCUCAAAAGAAUGUAAUGAAAUCCUAAGCCGUGGGAGAAAACCCGUGUCUAAAAGCUCAAGUUCAGGGCAAGCCAGACAGUCAGGGGCUAUAAGCCUGCAUGCCCGAAUGGUCUAGACGUACACCAGAAUAACCAGGAUCCUACCAAUGGGUCGGAAGGCCGGGUAGUGUUGGACCUUUGCCUUGACCCGCUCAGUCUCUAGGCUGGACUGUUCAAGGUGAUUACUCAGAUUGUCCGGGGUUUGCCAGGUGAGUGAGGGUUAGGCUGGGGGUAAAUCCCUAGCCACUAUAUCUUUCUGGUCUUCCCCCGCGGCCACUCUGUUAUUGAUAUGGACUGUCUUUACACCUAUUUUUCUUGAGCAGUUUAAACAAGUUGACUUCGAGUACACCCAAACUACGGGCCAGUUUGGUUGACACCCUAAGGCUUUUUUUGGUUCAUAGGAUAGAAUUAUCGUAGAAUAGGAAAUUUAUAGGAAAUGAGAUGACAUGUAACUCAAAUCCUAUGAGUAGGAAUAGAAAACGAGAUGUCAUUUGGUUCACACCAAAUGAAUUUUUCCAUUGAGUCUAGGCUCAUUUUUAUUUUCCUAUGAAAUGUGAAGGAUAGGAACCAAUCCUAUGUAGGAAUAGGAAUCCAUUCCUAUAAAUCAAAAGGCUUUAAAGGAAAAAAUUCUAUAAAAAUCUUAUCCUCUAGAAUUCUUAUAAAAUUCCUACAAACCAAAGAAGACCUAAACUUCAUGCCUGGAAAAAUCUGCUGCCUGGCAUGUGCCUGGACACUUGGUGUUUACCUGCCUGGGAGCACGGCGUUUGGAUUCAUUCCUGGCCUGGUGCUGUGUUAUCUAAUCAUUAAAUAAUAUUUAAAUGGUGCCGGGAAAGCUGCCGCACACCCAGGCGCAAGAAACCGGACGCCUGGGCCAGGCUAAUCCCAUUGCCUGAGCUAAGCAACUAAGCAACUGACUUUGUUUUGUUUUUUCUAAAAUUCACCAGGCUAAUCACGUUCCUGUGGCAGCCAGGCCAGGCAGGCCUUUUCACUCCCAGGAUACCAACAAAACAGCGACCAGGCACAUUCCAGGCACCGUCCAGGCCAGGCAAUCUUUGACGUGGAUGCCAACCAAACUAGCCCUACAUCUAGGAUUACAAAGAAUUAGUUUUUUCCCUAGCCAACAAAUACCUUUAACCACCGCAAAAUAGGUUACCUUUUCACGCAUAUUUUCAAUCCAGCCUCCAUUGGUAUUCCCUACUCUUUCUUGCCCCCAUUUGAGCUAUUCUUGAAAAUUGGGAGAGAUUUGAGAAGGGGUAUAGAGGGAAGCUAAACCAAGUUGAGAUCUUUGAGCUUUUGAACAAGUUUCCAAGUCUCUAGUCGACUUUGUUACUUUUGGAGAUUGGAGACUCCUAAACAGUUGGUCUCACCGAUGAGCUUCUAAGUUGUGAACUGGCCAGAGCUUGUGAAGGUUGGAGGUCACUUCAAGACAUACACUUAGUGGUUGAACCCGGGCUUUGUUUGUCGAGGCCAAAGGAGAAGACAAGACUUUGUAUUGUGAGGUGCUAUUUUUGGCUUCCUCCUCUCCGGCACAGACUAAUGUCCCUCCAAGUACAUUAAAAUGGGGAUACUGUUGAGUCAACCUUGGUCAGCAACAUUUACACAGAUGCAUGCAUGGUUGCAUGUCGGUAGCAGCAAUAGCUGUUACUUAGCAAGGUAGUAAAUUCGGCAGGUCGGCAAGUCGGCAACACUUUCGUGGCUUACCAAUUAAGGCAAGCUAGGUAGUAACUAGUAGUAGUUUCAAGUCUAGUACACGUAUGAGAUGAGGUGGGCAGCUAGUAGAGAUAUUUUUAACUCAUAGUCGGUUUGUAAGCAGUAUAUAAGGAGCUGCACUCCACCCGGUUAUAGCAUUCCACUCCAUUCCGUUCAAUACAAGGGAAUCAGACUCCAGUACUCCGCUCCGGUGCUUGUGUGUGUGCGUUAUAGACUGCACUAGUUGCAGUGCUUUGGUCUAUCUUCCGUAUAGAUCAGUACAUCACUAGUAGUUCAGUACACCGCUAGUAGUUCGGGCCAACAAUUGAUAUCAGAGCCUCAGGUUAUGCCGAAAGGAGGCGUCGCCGACGACGGUUCCAAGACCGCCGAGCAGAGCUCGGCUGAGGACACCCGUGCGGCGGACGCGCUCGCGCUGCGAGGCAGGCCGGGAGGUGAGCUGGGUGCGCCACGCUCCAUGCGAGACAUGGGCAUGUCCAGUACCUCCUUCCCUCUCCUCACGCGGACCAACUAUCCCAGUUGGUCCGUCCUGAUGAAAGUCAUCAUGGAGGCGCGACAUAUGUGGAAAGCCGUGGAAACCGGCGAUGUCGAGUAUGAGGAGGACCGGCUGGCGAUGGGGGCGAUCUUGCACUCCGUCCCAGAGGAGAUGGUGCUCACCCUUGGCGCCAAGGAGACGGCCAAGGAAGCAUGGGACACCAUCAAGACUCUGCGCAUCGGCGUGGAGCGCGUACGGGAGUCGAAGGCCCAGACCUUGCGCCUCCAGUACGAGGAGAUCCGGUUCAAGGCCGGUGAGCAAGUCGACGACUUCGCCUUGCGGCUGCAAGGUCUCGUCAACGAGCUCGCAACUCUCGGAGAUCACAUCGACAACAAGAUGGUGAUUCUCAAGUUCCUCCGCGUCGUCCCCAGGCAGUACAAGCAACUGGCCUGGUCCAUCGAGAGUUUGGUGGAUCUCUCCACCAUGACGAUCGAGGAGCUGGUAGGGCGGCCGAAGGUCGUCGAGGAGCGCGGCGACGAAGCCGACAACCGUGCUGGCGACGAACUACUGCUCACCAGGGAGUAGUGUGACACGCAGCUUCAGCAGCGCAGCUGCGACGGCUCUUCCGGCAGUGGGGGAGGUGCCCCCACGGGAAGCAGAGGUCACGGCAGAGGCGGAGGCGCGCCCAGAGUGGCGGCGGCAACCGUGGUCGCAAGCCAAGCCAGGCAGGGCGAGGCACUGGCAACGAUGGUAAGUGCCGCUAUUGCAACAUGCUGGGUCACUGGAUCCGGGAUUGACGCAGGAGGAAAGCCGACGAGGUAGCCGCGGCAACGACAAACCUCGUCCAGGAAGAUGUGGACGGCGGGCCAGCAAUGAUGCUGGCAAGAGUCGAGCCCGUGCAGGAGAGCACAACGUCUCUUGCGACCACGGCUCCGACAACCGCCCAUUCCGUGCAGGAGGCACGGAACCCGUCCACGGGAACCAUCACUCCAGUGACAGGCCACACCUCGACAACGACGUUCUCGGGGCCUGUCGACUGGGAGGCGAUGAAGGCUCGAGUGUGGGGGAGCCACGCUGUUGGGGAUAUUACUACUGGACGUAAACCGGCCAGGAGUAGCCGAAUUAGCUUUAUGAAGGUUAGAAGCCCAUGAAGACAUAAGAAUGAUGGCGCUUUGUGAAGGCCCAAGGCCCAGAGGCGAGUUAAGGCCUGUAGAUGUAAACCGACCUAAUUAUGUAACUUGCAUUGUAAGAUAGGAAGUGUAGAGACCGAACCGGACACAUUUAUGAUCCGGCUUCGGGACUCUGUAAACUGGCGGGCGUCAACCUAUGUAUAUAAAGGGACGACCGGCAGCGGUUUAGGGACGACAGACAAUAACUCGAGAGCCAGACAAAGCGGAUUCGCUCCCUGGUCUUCGAAACCCUAGCAAUACCAAUCACAACUAGACGUAGGAUUUUACCUUCAUCGAAGGGGCCGAACUAGUAUAAACUCCCCGUGUCCCCUUGUCCGGUUUAACCCCUUUAAGCUAACCCAUUGCGAUGGCUCCAUGACUAAGUCCUUUCACGAGGACAUCUGCCGUGACAAACCCACGACACACACCCCAGCGACGGCGUCCCCGAACUCGGGACCCGACGAGGUCGCGCAAGUUGGCGCGGCAACGACGCAUAUGGCGGACCAUGCUCCGACCAUGAUGCUGGCAACCAUCGACUCCAUGCAGGAGCGCACGGAGACUCAGGUCAGCCACACCCCGACAACAAAGUGUUCGGGGUCCACCGUGUUGAAGGGAGAUGGCUCCCUGACCAUGGCAUGUGUGUGCGGCUACGUCUUCCUCAACGAGGAGAGAGCUGUGACCACACCCACGCUUGAAGGUGGCAAGCAAAGUGAGGGUUGGUUCCUUGACACCGGCGCGACGAACCACAUGACUGGUUCAGUCGACGCGUUUGCAGAGCUGGACCGCUCAAUCACCGGGAAGGUGCGGUUCGCGGACGGAUCUAUGGUGGAGAUCCACAGGCGCGGGACCGUCGUCUUCGCCGACAAAGGAGGUGAUCAUAGGGCGUUCAUGGACGUCUACUUCAUCCCGGCGCUCAAGAGCAGCGUCGUGAGUGUUGGACAGCUCGAUGAGGGCUGGUUUGACAUCGGCAUCCGGCGCGGUGUUCUCACCAUGCGCGACCAGCAGAAGAGGCUUCUCAUCGAGGUAACCCGCUCGGCAAACCGCCUCUACAAGCUCUUCUUUCGACCCGUGCAUCCUGUGUGCCUUGCCGUGGGCCAUGUCUCCGACGCGUGGCGUUGGCAUGCCCGGCUAGGACACCAGCACUUCGACGGGUUGCGGAAGAUGGCGCGAGGCAACCUCGUCCAUGGGCUACCUCACAUCGAGCACGCCGACGAGUUGUGCGAUGCGUGUCUUGCCGGGAAGCAGCGGCGCCUGCCCUUUCCCGAGAAGGCAUGCUAUCGGGCACAGAAACCCCUGGAGCUAGUUCACGGGGACCUCUGCGGCCCAAUUGUUGGGGAACGUAGUAAUUUCAAAAAAAUUCCUACGCACACGCAAGAUCAUGGUGAUGCAUAGCAACGAGAGGGGAGAGUGUUGUCCACGUACCCUCGUAGACCGAAAGCGGAAGCGUUAGCACAACGCGGUUGAUGUAGUCGUACGUCUUCACGAUCCAACAAAUCAAGUACCAAACGCACGACACCUCCGAGUUCUGCACACGUUCAACUCGAUGACGUCCCUCGAACUCCGAUCCAGCCGAGUGUUGAGGGAGAGUUUCGUCAACACGACGGUGUGGUGACAAUGAUGAUGUUCUACCGACGCAGGGCUUCGCCUAAGCACCGCUACGAUAUGAUCGAGGUGGAUUAUGGUAGAGGGGGGCACCGCACACGACUAAGAGAUCAAGAGAUCAAUUAUUGUGUCUUUGGGAUGCCCCCUACCCCCGUAUAUAAAGGAGUGGAGGAGGGGGAGGGCUGGCCCUCUCUAUGGCGCGUCCUAGGGGAGUCCUACUCCCCUGGGAGUAGGAUUCCCCCUUUCCUAGUAGAACUAGGAGCCCUUCCAAGUAGUAGGAGUAGGAGGGAAGGAAAGGGAAGGGAAAAGGAGAAGGAAGGAAGGGGGCGCCCCCCUCCCUAGUCCAAUUCGGACCAGCCCAUGGGGAGGGGUGCGGCCACCCUUUGAGGCCUUUCUCUCCUUUCCCGUAUGGGCCAUUAAGGCCCAAUACGAAUUUCCGUAACUCCCCGGUACUCCCGAAAAUACCCGAAUCACUCGAAACCUUUCCGAUGUCCGAAUAUAGUCGUCCAAUAUAUUGAUCUUUACGUCUCGACCAUUUCGAGACUCCUCGUCAUGUCCCCGAUCUCACCUGGGACUCCGAACUCCUUCGGUACAUCAAAACACAUAAACUCAUAAUAUAACCAGCAUCGAACUUUAAGCGUGCGGACCCUACGGGUUUGAGAACUAUGUAGACAUGUCUGAGACACGUCUCCGGUCAAUAACCAUUAGCGGAACCUGGAUGCUCAUAUUGGCUCCUACAUAUUCUACGAAGAUCUUUAUCGGUCAAACCGCAUAACAACAUACGUUGUUCACUUUGUCAUCGGUAUGUUACUUGCCCGAGAUUCAAUCGUCGGUAUCUCAAUACCUAGUUCAAUCUCGUUACCGGCAAGUCUCUUUACUCGUUUCGUAACACAUCAUCCCGCAACUAACUCAUUAGUUGCAAUGCUUGCAAGGCUUAUAGUGAUGUGCAUUACCGAGUGGGCCCAGAGAUACCUCUCCGACAAUCGGAGUGACAAAUCCUAAUCUCAAAAUACGCCAACCCAACAAGUACCUUCGGAGACACCUGUAGAGCACCUUUAUAAUCACCCAGUUAUGUUGUGACGUUUGGUGGCACACAAAGUGUUCCUCCGGUAAACGGGAGUUGCAUAAUCCCAUAGUCAUAGGAACAUGUAUAAGUCAUGAAGAAAGCAAUAGCAACAAACUAAACGAUCAAGUGCUAAGCUAACGUAAUGGGUCAAGUGUUGGGGAACGUAGUAAUUUCAAAAAAAUUCCUACACACACGCAAGAUCAUGGUGAUGCAUAGCAAUGAGAGGGGAGAGUGUUGUCUACGUACCCUCGUAGACCGAAAGCAGAAGCGUUAGCACAACGCGGUUGAUGUAGUCGUACGUCUUCACGAUCCGACCGAUCCAAGUACCGAACGCACGACACCUCCGAGUUCAGCACACGUUCAGCUCGAUGACGUCCCGCGAACUCCAAUCCAGUAGAGCUUUCAUGGGAGAGUUCCGUCAGCACGAUGGCGUGGUGACGAUGAUGAUGUUCUACCGUCGCAGGGCUUCGCCUAAGCACUGCUACGAUAUGAUCGAGGUGGAUUAUGGUGGAAGGGGGCACCGCACACGGCUAAGAGAUCAAGAGAUCAAUUGUUGUGUCUAUGGGGUGCCCCCUGGCCACGUAUAUAAAGGAGUGGAGGAGGAGGGGGCCGGCCAGGAGGAGGAGGCGCGCCCAGGGGGGAAUCCUACUCCAAGUAGGUUUUGCCCCCUUUCCUAUUCCAACUAGGAGAAGGGGGGAGGAGGAGGUGGAGGGAAGGAAGGAGAAGGGGGGGCCGCGCCCCCUUCCCUUUCCCAACUCGGAUUGGGGCAAGGGGUGCUGCGCGCCACCUCCUNNNNNNNNNNNNNNNNNNNNNNNNNNNNNNNNNNNNNNNNNNNNNNNNNNNNNNNNNNNNNNNNNNNNNNNNNNNNNNNNNNNNNNNNNNNNNNNNNNNNNNNNNNNNNNNNNNNNNNNNNNNNNNNNNNNNNNNNNNNNNNNNNNNNNNNNNNNNNNNNNNNNNNNNNNNNNNNNNNNNNNNNNNNNNNNNNNNNNNNNNNNNNNNNNNNNNNNNNNNNNNNNNNNNNNNNNNNNNNNNNNNNNNNNNNNNNNNNNNNNNNNNNNNNNNNNNNNNCAUUCCGGUGUCCGAAUAUAGUCGUCCAAUAUAUCAAUCUUCAUGCCUCGACCAUUUCGAGACUCCUCGUCAUGUCCGUGAUCACAUCCGGGACUCCGAACAACCUUCGGUAAAUCAAAACUCAUAAACUCAUAAUAUAACCGACAUCAAAAUGUUAAGCAUGCGGACCCUACGGGUUCGAUAACUAUGUAGACAUGACCGAGACAUGUCUCCGGUCAAUAACCAAUAGCGGAACCUGGAUGCUCAUAUUGGCUCCCACAUAUUCUACGAAGAUCUUUAUCGGUCAGACUGCACAACAACAUACGUUGUUCCCUUUGUCAUCGGUAUGUUACUUGCCAGAGAUUCGAUCGUCGGUAUCUCAAUACCUAGUUCAAUCUCGUUACCAGCAAGUCUCUUUACUCGUUCUGUAAUACAUCAUUCCGCAACUAACUCAUUUAGUUGCAAUGAUUGCAAGUCUUAGGUGAUGUGCAUUACCGAGAUGGCCCAGAGAUACCUCUCCGACAAUCGGAGUGACAAAUCCUAAUCUCGAAAUAUGUCAACCCAACAAGUACCUUUGGAGACACUUGUAGAGCACCUUUAUAAUCACCCAGUUAUGUUGUGAUGUUUGGUAGCACACAAAGUGUUCCUCCGGUAAACGGGAGUUGCAUAAUCUCAUAGUCAUAGGAACAUGUAUAAGUGAUGAAGAAAGCAAUAGCAACAAACUAAACGAUCAAGUGCUAAGCUAACAGAAUGGGUCAAGUCAAUCAUAUCAUUCUCCUAAUGAUGUGAUCCCAUUAAUCAAAUGACAACUCAUGUCUAUGGUUAGGAAACAUAACCAUCUUCAAUCAACGAGCUAGUCAAGUAGAGGCAUACUAGUGACACUCUGUUUGUCUAUGUAUUCACACAUGUAUUAUGUUUCUGGUUAAUACAAUUCUAGCAUGAAUAAUAAACAUUUAUCAUGAUAUAAGGAAAUAAAUAAUAACUUUAUUAUUGCCUCUAGGGCAUAUUUCCUUCAGUCUCCCACUUGCACUAGAGUCAAUAAUCUAGUUCACAUCGCCAUGUGAUUUAACAUCAAUAGUUCACAUCACCAUGUGAUUAACACCCAUAGUUCACAUCAUCAUGUGACCAACACCCAAAGGGUUUACUAGAGUCAAUAAUCUAGUUCACAUCGCUAUGUGAUUAAUACCCAAAGAGUACUAAGGUGUGAUCAUGUUUUUCUUGUGAGGGAAGUUUAGUCAACGGGUCUGCCACAUUCAGAUCCGUACGUAUUUUGCAAAUUUCUUUGUCAACAAUGCUCUGCACGGAGCUACUCUAGCUAAUUGCUCCCACUUUCAAUAUGUAUCCAGAUUGAGACUUAGAGUCAUCUGGAUCAGUGUCAAAACUUGCAUCGACGUAACCCUUUACGACGAACCUUUUGUCACCUCCAUAAUCGAGAAACAUAUCCUUAUUCCACUAAGGAUAAUUUUGACCAAUGUCCAGUGAUCUACUCCUAGAUCACUAUUGUACUCCCUUGCCAAACUCAGGGCAGGGUAUACAAUAGGUCUGGUACACAGCAUGGCAUACUUUAUAGAACCUAUGGCCAAGGCAUAGGGAAUGACUUUCAUUCUCUCUCUAUCUUCUGCCAUGGUCGGGUUUUGAGUCUUACUCAACUUCACACCUUGUAACACAGGCAAGAACUCCUUUUUGACUGUUCCAUUUUGAACUACUUCAAAAUCUUGUCAAGGUAUGUACUCAUUGAAAAACUUAUCAAGCAUCUUGAUCUAUCUCUAUAGAUCUUGAUGCUCAAUAUAUAAGCAGCUUCACCGAGGUCUUUCUUUGAAAAAACUCCUUUCAAACAUUCCUUUAUGCUUUGCAGAAUAAUUCUACAUUAUCUCCGAUCAACAAUAUGUCAUACAUAUACUUAUCAGAAAUGUUGUAGUGCUCCCACUAACUUUCUUGUAAAUACAGGCUUCACCGCAAGUCUGUAUAAAACUAUAUGCUUUGAUAAACUUAUAAAAUCAUAUAUUCCAACUCCGAGAUGCUUGCACCAGUCCAUAGAUGGAUCCCUAGAGCUUGCAUAUUUUGUUAGUACCUUUAGGAUUGACAAAACCUUCUGGUUGCAUCAUAUACAACUCUUCUUUAAUAAAUCCAUUAAGGAAUGCAGUUUUGUUUAUCCAUUUGCCAGAUUUCAUAAAAUGCGGCAAUUAAUAACAUGAUUCGGACAGCUUAAGCAUAGACACGAGUGAGAAAUUCUCAUCGUAUUCAACACCUUGAACUUGUCGAAAACCUUUUUGCGACAAUUCUAGAUUUGUAGAUAGUAACACUACUAUCAGCGUCCGUCUUCCUCUUGAAUAUCCAUUUAAUCUCAACGACUCGCCGAUCAUUGGGCAAGUCAAUCAAAGUCCAUACUUUGUUCUCAUACAUGGAUCUCAUCUCAGAGUUCAUGGCCUCAAGCCAUUUCGCGGAAUCUGAGCUCAUCAUUGCUUCCUCAUAGUUCGUAGGCUCGUCAUGGUCAAGUAACAUGACCUCCAGAACAGGAUUACCGUACCACUCUGGUGCGGAUAUCACUCUGGUUUACCUACGAGGUUUCGGUAGUAACUUGAUCUGAAGUUACAUGAUCAUCAUCAUUAGCUUCCUCACUAAUUGGUGUAGUAGUCACAAGAAUAGAUUUUUGUGAUGAACUACUUUCCAAUAAGGGAGCAGGUAUAGUUACCUCAUCAAGUUCUACUUUCCUCCCACUCACUUCUUUCGAGAGAAACUCCUUCUCUAGAAAGGAUCCAUUCUCAACAAUGAACAUCUUGCCUUCGGAUCUGUGAUAGAAGGUGUACCCAAUAUUUUCUUUUGGGUAUCCUAUGAAGACGCACUUCUCCGAUUUGGGUUUGAGCUUAUCACGUUGAAACUUUUUCACAUAAGCAUUGCAACCUCAAACUUUAAGAAACGAUAGCUUAGGUUUCUUGCCAAACCACAGUUCAUAUGGUGUCAUCUCCAUGGAUUUAGAUGGUGCCCUAUUUAACGUGAAUGUAGCUGUCUCUAAUGUAUAACCCCAAAAUGAUAGUGAUAGAUCGGUAAGAGACAUCAUAGAUCGCACUAUAUCUAAUAAAGUACGGUUAUGAUGUUCGGACACACCAUUACACUGUGGUGUUCCAGGUGGCGUGAGUAGUGAAACUAUUUCACAUUGUUUUAACUGAAGGCCAAACUCGUUAACUCAAAUAUUUUACUUUUGCGAUCAUAUCGUAAAAACUUUUAUUUUCUUGUUACGAUGAUUCUCCACUUUACUCUGAAAUACUUUGAACUUUUCAAAUAUUUCAGACUUGUGUUUCAUCAACUAGAUAUACCCAUAUCUGCUCAAAUCAUUUAUGAAGGUCAGAAAAUAAUGAUAUCCGCCGCGAGCCUCAACACUCAUCGGACCGCAUACAUCAUGCUCAACGCAAACACUAAAUAACAUUUAUUUUAGGUUCAACACUAAUCCCGAAAGUAUAGGGAGUGUGCGAUGAUGAUCAUAUCAAUCUUGGAACCACUUUCAAUACACAUCGUCACUUCACCCUUAACUAGUCUCUGUUCAUUCUACAACUCCCGUUUCGAGUUACUACUCUUAGCAACUGAACUAGUAUCAAAUACUGAGGGGUUGCUAUAAACACUAGUAAAGUACACAUCAAUAACAUGUAUAUCAAAUAUACCUUUGUUCACUUUGCCAUUCUUCUUAUCCGCCAAAUACUUGGGGCAGUCCUGCUUCCAGUGACCAGUCCCUUUGCAGUAGAAGCACUUAGUCUCAGGGUUAGGUUUAGACUUGGGCUUCUUCACUUGAGCAGCAACUUGCUUUCCGUUCUUCUUGAAGUUCCCCUUUCUUCCCUUUGCCCUUUUCUUGAAACUAGUGGUCUUUGUCAACCAUCAACACUUGAUGCUUUUCUUGAUUUCUACCUUCGUCGAUUUCAGCAUCACGAAGAGCUUGGGAAUUACUUUUGUCAUCCCUUGCAUAUUAUAGUUCAUCACUAGGUUCUAGUAACUCAGUGAUAGUGACUAGAGAACUUUGUCAAUUACUCUCUUAUCUGUAAGAUUAACUCCCACUUGAUUCAAGCAAUUGUAGUACUUAGACAAUCUGAGCACAUGCUCACUGAUUGAGCUAUUCUCCUCCAUCUUGUAGGCAAAGUACUGUCAGAGGUCUCAUACCUCUCGACACGGGCAUGAGUAUGAAAUACCAAUUUCAACUCUUGGAACAUCUUAUAUGCUCCAUGGCGUUCAAAAAUGUCUUUGAAGCCCCGAUUCUAAGCCGUUAAGCAUGGUGCACUAAACUAUCAAGUAGUCAUCAUAUUGAGCUAGCCAAACGUUCAUAACGUCUGCAUCUGCUCCUGCAAUAGGUCUGUCACCUAGUGGUGCAUCAAGGACAUAAUUCUUCUGUGCAGCAAUGAGGAUAAUCCUCAGAUCACGGAUCCAAUCUGCAUCAUUGCUACUAAGAGUUUUCAACUUAGUUUUCUGUAGGAACAUAUCAAAAAUAAAACAGAGGAGCUAAACGCGAGCUAUUGAUCUACAACAUAGAUAUGCUAAUACUAUCAAGACUAAGUUCAUGAUAAAUUUAAGUUCAAUUAAUCAUAUUACUUAAGAACCCCCACUUAGAUAGACAUCCCUCUAAUCCUCUAAGUGAUCAAGUGAUCCAUAUCAACUAAACCAUAACCGAUCAUCACGUGAAAUGGAGUAGUUUUCAAUGGUGAACAUCAUUAUGUUGAUCAUAUCUAUUAUAUGAUUCACACUUGACCUUUCGGUCUCCAGUGUUCCGAGGCCAUAUCUGCAUAUGCUAGGCUCGUCAAGUUUAACCCGAGUAUUUCUGCGUGUGCAAAACUGGCUUGCAUCCGUUGUAGAUGGACGUAGAGCUUAUCACACCCGAUCAUCACGUGGUGUCUGGGCACGACGAACUUUGGCAACGGUGCAUACUCAGGGAGAACACUUUUAUCUUGAAAUUUAGUGAGAGAUCAUCUUAUAAUGCUAUCGUCAAUCAAAGCAAAAUAAGAUGUAUAAAAGAUAAACAUCACAUGCAAUCAAAAUAUGUGACAUGAUAUGGCCACCAUCAUCUUGUGCCUUUGAUCUCCAUCUCCAAAGCAUCGUCAUGAUUUCCAUCAUCACCGGCAUGACACCAUGAUCUCCAUCAUCUUGAUCUAUAUCAAUGUGUCGUCACAUGUCGUCUCGCCAACUAUUGCUCUUGCAACUAUUGCUAUCGCAUAGCGAUAAAGUAACGCAAUUAUUUGGCGCUUGCAUCUUAUGCAAUAAAGAGACAACCAUAAGGCUUCUGCCAGUUGUCGAUAACUUCAACAAAACAUGAUCAUCUUAUACAACAACUUAUAUCUCAUCACGUCUUGACCAUAUCACAUCACAACAUGCCCUGCAAAAACAAGUUAGACGUCAUCUACUUUGUUGUUGCAAGUUUUACGUGGCUGCUAUGGGCUGAGCAAGAACCGUUCUUACCUACGCAUCAAAACCACAACGAUAGUUUGUUAAGUUAGUGUUGUUUUAACCUUCUCAAGGACCGGGCGUAGCCACACUCGGUUCAACUAAAGUUGGAGAAACUGACACCCGCUAGUCACCUGUGUGCAUAGCAUGGCGGUAAAACCAGUCUCGCGUAAGCGUACGCGUAAUGUCGGUCCGGGCCGCUAUCGCCCACAACUCACUUGUGUUCUACUUGUGCAUAUUACAUCAACGCAUAAAACCUGGCUCGGAUGCCACUGUUGGGGAACAUAGUAAUUUCAAAAAAAUUCCUACCACACGCAAGAUCAUGGUGAUGCAUAGUAACAAGAGGGGAGAGUGUUAUCCACGUACCCUCAUAGACCGAAAGCGGAAGCGUCAGCAUAACGCGGUUGAUGUAGUCGUACGUCUUCACGAUCCGACCGAUCAAGUACCGAACGCACGGCACCUCCGAGUUCUGCACACGUUCAACUCGAUGACGUCCCUCGAACUCCGAUCCAGCCGAGUGUUGAGGGAGAGUUUUGUCAACACGACGGUGUAACACCCCGGAUGUAAUUUACCUUAUCUGUACUCCAACUAUUGCCGUUUCCGGCCUAAGUUAUUUUAUUUACCUCGGGUUCAGGUUUUUGUCUCCGUGUGUUGUUGCCUUUGUCAUGCAUCUCAUGUCAUGUCAUCAUGUGCAUUGCAUUUGCAUACGUGUUCGUCUCAUGCAUCCGAGCUUUUUCCCCGUUGUCCGUUUUGCAUUCCGGCGCUCCUAUCUCCUCCGGUGCCCCUUUCUACCUCUUUUCAUGUGUGGGGGUUAAACAUUUUCGGAUUGGACCAAGACUUUCCAUGCAGUCUUGGUUUACUACCGGUAGACCGCCUGUCAAGUUUCGUGCCAUUUGGACUUCGUUUAAUACUCCAACAAUUAACCGAGGGACCAAAAAGGCCUCGUGUGUGUUGCAUCCCAACCCCCUUCCAAUUUGGCCCAAAAACCCACCAAAACCUCUCCCAUCGUCUAGAGCAUUCGAUCACGAUUGCAUGGCCGCAAACCACACUCCAUUUGGAGCUUCCUAGCUCCCUCUAUGCCUAUAAAUAGAUCCUCUUCCGAAAUCACGGGUCUCCUUCCCCCUAACCCUAGAUAAUUUUCCCCGCAGCGCGCCGGACAACGUCCGGGCGCGCAGGACAUCGCCACCGCCACAACCAGAAGCUGACACGUGGCGCGCGAGAGCCUCACUUUGCCGCGCCGCCGCCCAACCCGCUCGGCCCGCGGGAGGCCCCCGCGGCCCAUCUGCCUUCCCCGUCGCCCCCGUGCUCUUUCUCCUCCGCCGCGGGGCAGCACGCCGGCCACCGCGCGCCAUUGCUGCCGUCUCGCGGGCGAGCUUCCCCGCCACCGCGCGCCACCCUGCCGCCGCCGUUCUCCGCCGCCGCCGUCACCUCUUCACCGCCCCGAGUCGCCGCCUCGCCGUGCCGCCGCAGGAGGUCGCCGGCGACGCCCCCAACUCCGGUGUCCCUCGCUACUCCAGUCGCCGCGUUCUUCGUCCCCGGCGAACCUCGGCAUCUGCGCUGCUAUAGUGCUCGUGCUACAGUAGAUCUUAGAUCUAGAUCUCGGUUGACCUUUUCACCCCCGAAACCCUAAUUAUUUUGCAAACUUUGGCAUGUCGUAUCUCUGCAUCCGUAGCUCCGAUUUGCGCGUGCAGCAUAUCAAAAUGUUCGUCUCAAAGAGUACAUCAUUUCAUCUCAUUGCAUCAUUUUCAUUUGAGCUCAUCUUGAUGCCCGAAAUGCUGUUGGAAGAGGGCUAUAUGAUAAACUUGGCAGAUCUGUUUCAUCAAAUAGCUAUUUGUCAUUUUUGCCAUGAUUAAUGUGUGCAUGAUAUGCUCCUGAGCUCUACAUGAGUUUUGUUAUAUGCCAUGCCAUCUUUACAGACGUGCUUACCAUGUAUUUUUGUGAUUUGUGAGGUGACUAGCAAAAGCUUGCAAAGUAGCGUAAUCGGUAUGCUGAUUUCAGGGACUUCGAAUUUCACCAAGUCCUUGUUCUAAUUUUGUCAUUAUGCCAUAUGUUCAUGUUGUUUCCUAGUGAUCCGUGCCUCUUUUGAGGAUGAUCAGUAAGGAUAAUUUGUUAACAUUGUGGUGCUCUAUCCAUCCAUGUCUUUGUUUGCAUUUAUGGAGCACCCUAGCUUGAGACAAUCGAGCUCUACUUUUGCUAUAUCGUGAAUCCUGACAGAUUGUUGACUUGUUAGCGAUUUUGCCGAGGAUGUUGCUAUUGAUCCGUGCAUGCUAUGAAGUUGUUCUUGCCAUUUCUAGCUUCUAUGCCAUGUAAUAUUGAUGGUUAUAUGCUUAGAUUGUCAUGCCAUGCUCUGUAGUGAGUGCAUCGAGCUCGUAAACAUGCCUACUCGUUAACUGAUUUGCAUGUCCAGUUUUUCACUAAGUCUGAGAUCUGUUUAUGUUUUUGCCAUGUUCACAUGCUUGCAAUUGUACUUUCUGAUCCCUUUUGGCUCAAGUUCACUAAGGGACUUUUGUUAAGUGCUUUGAGUAGCUUCAUGUCAUGCCUUGAUUUGCCAUGUUAAGUUCCUGUAGCAUGUAGUUUUCAUGCUCUAAAGUGUGCUUCCUGAUGAUAAAUUCCAGACUUCUGUUAAUUUCACUAAGUCUGAAACCUGUUACCAUUUGCAUUUUUGCCAUGAUUGUUUGAACCUGUUAAUGGAUGAAUUAGCCGUAGCUCAGUGUUCAUUGUUUGUCAAGCAUCAUGAGUGGAUCCCUGCCAUGUAUUUUGUUGUCAUGUUUGAGUUCUGUAGCUUAUUUAUCUUGAUGCAUUUAGAUGGCUACUUGCUGAUUAUCGCAAACCGGUGCCAUAUUUGUUUUGCUUGCCAUUUCCAAACCGUGCAUCCGAUUCCGGUGAUCUUUAUAUCGAUUUCAACCGAAAUCACCUUACCUUUCCAGUGGAACUCUUGGAUUUCGAAGUUGAGGCCAGGUUCAAUCAUUCCUUGUCAAAUCUUGCAUAUGCAUCACAUAUCGCAUCCCGCAUAGCAUACCAUGUUCGCAUCAUGUUGUUUGAGCAUUGCACGUGGUUGAUUGUGUUCCUUUUGAUUGUUUGGGUAGAGCCGGGAGAUGAGUUCGCUAACGAGGAGUUCGCUUACGAGGAUCAAGUCAACUCUGACAACUUUGCAGGCAAGAUGAUCAUACCCUCAAAAUCACUUCUAUCUUUGCUUGCUAGAUGCUCGCUAUUUUGCUAUGCCUAUGCUACGAUACCUACCACUUGCUUAUCAUGCCUCCCAAAUUGCCAUGUCAAACCUCUAACCCACCAUGUCCUAGCAAACCGUUGAUUAGCUAUGUUACCGCUUUGCUCAGCCCCUCUUAUAGCGUUGCUAGUUGCAGGUGAAGAUUGGAGAUCGUUCCUUGUUGGAACAUUGUUUAUUGUUGGGUUAUCACCAUAUUAUCUUGUUAUAUUAAUGCACCUAUAUACUUGGUAAAGGGUGGAAGGCUCGGCCUUUUGCCUAGUGUUUUGUUCCACUCUUGCCGCACUAGUUUCCGUCAUAUCGGUGUUAUGUUCCCGGAUUUUGCGUUCCUUACGCGGUUGGGUUAUAAUGGGAACCCCUUGACAGUUCGCCUUGAAUAAAACUCCUCCAGCAAUGCCCAACCUUGGUUUUACCAUUUUCCACCUAGCAUCUUUUUCCCUUGGGUUUCUGGAGCCCGAGGGUCAUCUUUAUUUAAACCCCCCCGGGCCAGUGCUCCUCUAAGUGUUGGUCCACCUCGUCAGCCGCCGGUGGCCACCAGGGGCAACUCUGGGCUGACCUACCAGAAGUUUGGACAAUCUGAGUGUGCCCUGAGAACGAGAUAUGUGCAGCUCCUAUCGGGAUUUGUCGGCACAUUCGGGAGGUGUUGCUGGACUUGUUUUACCAUUGUCGAGGAUGUCUUGUAACCGGGAUUCCGAGCCUGAUCGGGUCUUCCCGCUAGAAGGAAUAUCCUUCGUUGACCGUGAGAGCUUGUGAUGGGCUAAGUUGGGACUCCCCUGCAGGGUUUUGAACAUUCGAAAGCCGUGCUCGCGGUUAUGGGCAGAUGGGAAUUUGUUAAUGUCCGGUUGUAGAUAACAUGAAACUUAACUUAAUUAAAAUGAAUCAACCGCGUGUGUAACCGUGAUGGUCUCUUCUCGGCGGAUUCCGGGAAGUGAACACAGUGUUGGAGUAAUGCUUGACGUAGGUUGUUAUAGGAUCACUUCUUGAUCAUAGUUCUUCAUCCGUGCUUUGACUUCUCUUCUCGCUCUCUUUUGCGAAUAGGUUAGCCACCCUAUAUGCUAGUCGCUUGCUGCAGCUCCACAUAUUACCUUGCCUUUACCUAUAAGCUUAAAUAGUUUGAUCGCGAGGGUGCGAGAUUGCUGAGUCCCCGUGACUCACAGUUUACUUCCAAAACCAGAUGCAGGGACCGAUGAUACCGUUCCAGACGAUGCGCUUGAGCUCAAGUGGGAGUUCGAUGAAGACUCUCGCCAUUACUAUGUGUCUUUCCCAGAUGAUCAGUAGUGGUGCCCAAUUGGGGCGAUCGGGGACCAUGUCGCAUGUUGGGAUUGAUCUUUUAUUUUGGUACCGUAGUCGGACCAUGAGUGUAUUGGAUGAUUGUAAUUUUAUUCAUGUAUUUGUGUGACGUGGCGAGUGUAAGCCAACUAUGUAUCCUUUCCCCUUUUAUAUAUUUACAUGGGUUGUUGUGAAGAAUACCUUACUUGCGACAUUGCUUUCAAUGCAGUUAUGCCUCUAAGUCGUGUUUCAACACAUAGGAGAUAUAGCCGCAUCAAGGGCAUUACAGACGGCGUGGUGACAAUGAUGAUGUUCUACCGACGCAGGGCUUCGCCUAAGCACCGCUACGAUAUGAUCAAGGUGGAUUAUGAUGGAGGGGGCACCGCACACGGCUAAGAGAUUAAGAGAUCAAUUGUUGUGUCUUUGGGGUGCCCCCUGCCCCCGUAUAUAAAGGAGUGGAGGAGGGGGAGGGCUGGCCCUCUCUAUGGCGCGCCCUAGGGGAGUCCUACUCCCACCGUGAGUAGGAUUCCCCCUUUCCAAGUAGAACUAGGAGCCCUUCCAAGUAGUAGGAGUAGGAGGGAAGGGAAGGGAAGGGAAAAGGAGAAGGAAGGAAGGGGGCGCCCCCCUCCCUAGUCCAAUUCGGACCAGCCCAUGGGGAGGGGUGCGGCCACCCUUUGAGGCCUUUCUCUCCUUUCCUGUAUGGCCCAUUAAGGCCCAAUACGAAUUCCCGUAACUCCCCGAUACUCCCGAAAAUACCCGAAUCACUCGGAACCUUUCCGAUGUCCGAAUAUAGUCGUCCAAUAUAUCCAUCUUUACGUCUUGACCAUUUCGAGACUCCUCGUCAUGUCCCCGAUCUCAUCUGGGACUCCGAACUCCUUCGGUACAUCAAAACACAUAAACUCAUAAUAUAACUGUCAUCGAACUUUAAGCGUGCGGACCCUACGGGUUCGAGAACUAUGUAGACAUGACCGAGACACGUCUCUGGUCAAUAACCAUUAGCGGAACCUGGAUGCUCAUAUUGGCUCUUACAUAUUCUACGAAGAUCUUUAUCGGUCAAACCGCAUAACAACAUACGUUGUUCACUUUGUCAUCGGUAUGUUACUUGCCCGAGAUUCAAUCGUCGGUAUCUCAAUACCUAGUUCAAUCUCGUUACCGGCAAGUCUCUUUACUCGUUUCGUAAUACAUCAUCCCGCAACUAACUCAUUAGUUGCAAUGCUUGCAAGGCUUAUAGUGAUGUACAUUACCGAGUGGGCCCAGAGAUACCUCUCCGACAAUCGGAGUGACAAAUCCUAAUCUCAAAAUACGCCAACCCAACAAGUACCUUCGGAGACACCUGUAGAGCACCUUUAUAAUCACCCAGUUACGUUGUGACGUUUGGUGGCACACAAAGUGUUCCUCCGGUAAACGGGAGUUGCAUAAUCUCAUAGUCAUGGAACAUGUAUAAGUCAUGAAGAAAGCAAUAGCAACAAACUAAACGAUCAAGUGCUAAGCUAACAGAAUGGGUCAAGUCAAUCACAUCAUUCUCCUAAUGAUGUGAUCCCGUUAACCAAAUGAAAACUCAUGUCUAUGGUUAGGAAACAUAACCAUCUUUGAUCAACGAGCUAGUCAAGUAGAUGCAUACUAGUGACACUCUGUUUGUCUAUGUAUUCACACAUGUAUUAUGUUUCCGAUUAAUACAAUUCUAGCAUGAAUAAUAAACAUUUAUCAUGAUAUAAGGAAAUAAAUAAUAACUUUAUUAUUGCCUCUAGGGCAUAUUUCCUUCACCAAUCACCCCGGCAACGCCAGGAGGGCGUCGCUACAUCGUGCUGCUCGUCGACGACUAUAGCAGGUUCAUGUGGGUGCUGCUCCUCGCCUCCAAGGAUGAGGCAGAGCGAGCCAUCGUCAGGCAGCAAGCGGCAGCUGAGGUCGAGUGUGGCCACAAGUUGCGCGUGCUGCGCACGAACCGUGGCGGCGAGUUCACGUCGGCCACGUUCUACAAGCACUGCGACGAGAAAGGGGUGCAACGUCACCUCACAGCCCCUUACUCGCCGCAGCAGAAUGGCGUCGUCGAGCGGAGGAACCAGACGGUGCUCGGGAUGGCACGCUACAUGCUCAAGGCAAAGGAGGUGCCGAGCACGUAUUGGGGGGAGGCCGUGCUCACGGCUGUAUUCAUCCUCAACCGCUCCUUCACAUGGAGCGUCGAUGGCAAGACGCCUUAUGAGGCGUGGUACGGAAGGAAGCCCGAUGUACGCUUCCUCCGUACCUUUGGCUGCGUCGGGCAUGUUAAGACGGCGCGCCCACAACUCAAGAAGCUCGACGACAGGAGCACCCCAAUGGUGUUCAUGGGCUACGAGACGGGCUCUAAGGCGUAUAAGAUGUACGACCCCGUCUCAAAGCGUGCGCAUGUCUCGCGCGACGUCAUCUUCGAUGAAGAUGCGCGAUGGACUUGGGAGGCGUCGGGGGAGUCCCCGGCAAGCAGCUCCUUCACCGUGGAGUACCCGAUGUACUCUAGGACCCCGGGAAGCAAGACCCCGGGAAGUUCCACCCCGGGAAGCCCGGGAUGUGUGGAUCCGGGAACCGCAACCCCAAGAACCCCGUCCCCGGGUACGGUGUCCCUGGACACCCCGACGUCAAGCAAGGUGGGUCCCGGGAGGCAGUUCGCAACCCCGCCAAUGGUGAGGUCAGAGUUGUUCGACGCCGACGACAGCGUUGGCGCCCCCCAUAGGUUUCGGUGCAUGGGGGAUCUCCUCGACGAGGCUGCGGCAACACCGCAACAGCCCGAGGAAGGGGAUGUUGAUGACGACGACGUCUUGCAUCUGAUGGCCGGCGAUGAGCCGACCACGUUCGUAGAGGCCGAGCAAGAGGAUUGCUGGCGCCACGCGAUGCUGGACGAGCUGGCGUCGAUCAACGACAACGCCACUUGGACACUCACCACACUGCCUGCUAGGCACCGAGCCAUCGGGCUCAAGUGGGUGUUCAAAGUCAAGAAGGACGAGCACGACGUCAUUGUCAAGAACAAGGCACGCCUCGUCGCAAAGGGCUACGUGCAGCGUGAGGGAGUGGACUUCGAGGAAGUCUUCGCUCCGGUGGCAAGGCUGGAGUCCGUGCGGCUCAUCCUUGCCGUGGCUGCUCACCGUGGUUGGGAGGUACACCACAUGGACGUCAAGUCGGCAUUUCUGAACGGCGAACUUAACGAGGAGGUGCAUGUCUCCCAGCCACCAGGGUUCGUUGCCAAGAACCACGAGCAGGGUGUCUACAGGCUACACAAGGCCCUGUAUGGUCUCCGGCAAGCCCCAAGGGCGUGGAACACCAAGCUCGAUGUAAGCCUCGCAUCUCUUGGGUUCUCACGGAGCACUUCUGAGCACGGCGUGUACUCACGUGGCACCGCGAACACGCUGCUCAUCGUCGGCAUCUACGUCGAUGGCCUGGUCAUCGCCGGGGCAGAGCCUGAAGAGGUUCAACGCUUUAAGGGAGAGAUGCAUCGUCUCUUCAGCAUGAGCGACCUUGGGCUGCUCCGGUACUACCUCGGGCUGGAGGUGAACCAGGAGGGUGGUUGCAUCACGAUCACACAGACGGCCUAUGCCACCAAGAUGCUCGAGCGAGCAGGCAUGAAGGACUGCCAUGCCGUGCACGCUCCAAUGGAGGCACGGUUGAAGCUCAGCAAGGAUAGCCCCGAGAAGGCGGUGGAUGCCACACUCUACCGUAGCAUCAUCGGGAGUCUUAGGUACCUCGUGCACACCCGACCGGACAUCACGUUCAUUGUCGGAUACCUGAGUAGGUUCAUGGAAGCUCCGGCAAGCGAUCACCUCGCUGCCGUCAAGCACCUGCUCCGAUACAUCGCGGGAACGCUCACGUAUGGAUGUGUGUAUCAUCGUGGUGAUGGCGAGAGCUUGGUCGGGUACAGCGACUCCGACCAUGCUGGUGACGUGGACUCCCAGAAGCGCACCUCGGGCAUACUAUUCCUUCUCGGGAAUAGUCCCGUCAGCUGGCAAUCGGUGAGGUAGAAGGUUGUCGCCGUAUCUUCGUGCGAGGCGGAGUACAUCGCGGCAGCUACAUCGGCAUGUCAAGGCAUUUGGCUUUCUCGCCUUCUCGGCGAGAUGCUGAAUCAGGACACCGCCCCUGCGCUCAUCUUCGUCGACAACAAGUCGGUGAUUUCCCUUUGCAAGAAUCCAGUGCUUCACGACCGCAGCAAGCACAUCGAUCUCCGCUAUCACUUCAUACGUGACUGCGUCGAGAAAGGCACGGUGAUCGUGGAGUUCAUCGAGACUGGUGAGCAGAAGGCGGACAUCCUGACAAAGGCACUUGGCCGCGUCCGGUUCCAGGAGCUGCAUGACAAAGUCGGGAUCAUAGACACCAAGCUGCUUUGACAAGGUUGAGGGGGAGAAUGUUGAGUCAACCUUGGUCAGCAGCAUUUACACAGAUGCAUUCAUGGUUGCAUGUCGGCAGCAGCAGUAGCUGUUACUUAGCAAGGUAGUAAAUUCGGCAGGUCGGCAAGUCGGCAACACUUGCGUGGCCUACCAAUUAAGGCAAGCUAGGUAGUAACUAGUAGUAGUUUCUAGUCUAGUACACAUAUGAGAUGAGGUGGGCAGCUAGUAGAGAUAUUUUAACCCAUAGUCGGGUUGUAAGCAAUAUAUAAGGAGCUGCACUCCACCCGGUUAUAGCAUUCCACUCCAUUCCGUUCAAUACAAGGGAAUCAGACUCCAGUACUCUGCUCCGGUGCUUGUGUGUGUGUGCAUUAUAGACUGCACUAGUUGCAGUGCUUUGGUCUAUCCUCCGUAUAGAUCAGUACACCACUAGUAGUUCGGGCCAAUAGAUACAUCAUCCUGUGCCCACUCUUGUUAUUACUUUCCUGGAUCUUAUUAUUGCAAAUUGCUUAUCAUAUAUGGUAUUCCCUUUGUUGCAAUUCUACAUAACUUAUAGUUCUAUACACACCUACAAUCAACUAAGAAAAUAUCACAAUUUGUAGUCGUCUUUCAACCCCUUCCCUCCUCCAUAGUCAUCUUUGAUCCUUCACAACUGAGUAGUGCUUGUUUAAAAUUAUUGCCACGCCAGAACUCUUACUUGGUUGGAGCAUAAGUGUAUGCCUCAUUUCUAUGUGCUACAUGUACAACCCGAGGAAUGAACCAAGCUUUCAUAAUUCACACAAUCGAAAUUUCUUAAUUCAUAUUAAUCAAUUUGGAUAAAUCGAUAACAAAUCGCAGAGAAUCAUAUCAUUGGACUCUAGCGGAGGCGGUCAAUUGUAGUAGACUGUAAGGUAUCAUUGAUACUAGAUCUCAUUGAACACGGCAAAGAGGUCCCCGUGGAUGUAGUUGUUGUUCACGAGAUUAACCAAGUAGUAGCUCUUCUGAACCUGCAAGUGAAGAGGAGCAAGAUGUCAGUGAAAUCCCUAGGGAUAUAUUAUUACUUGCUAUGAUAUCGACAAUAUCUUUGCAGCAAUUCAUCAGAAAUACCAAUAUAUGGAGUGCCACUGGAACUUAGGUAGCUGUGAUAACUCCAUAUGGAAAAGGUUAAUUAUGGUCCAAUGUCAGUGAAAUCCCUAGCGAUAUAUUAUUACUUGCUAUGAUAUCGACAUUAUCUUUGCAGCAAUUCAUCAGAAAUACCAAUAUAUGGAGUGCCACUGGAACUUAGGUAGAUGUGAUAACUCCAGAUGGAAAAGGUUAAUUAUGGUCCAGAGAGCAUUUGGAACUUAAAACAGUUGUCGUAUCUGAUAGGUAAUUGGCUCAAAGGUGUUUCUCUAUUCUAGAGACAAGUUUGUUAGCAAAAGCUGGGAGAUAUCAGGAAUUAUAAACGUUGGCUAGAUAUCGGGAGUUAUUUACCCAAAACCACCACACUUGGGGCUAGGGUAACCGGUCGGUACCACAUUUAAGCCAUGUCACAAAAAACCACCAACUCUGGGACUAAUCGGUACCGCGGAGCACUGACUGGUCGUUUUAGCCGCGGAAAUAGCGAAACCGACAGGUCGGGCCCACCUGUCAGGUCGACGUGGCGCGGGCUGACAGACGCCGUUAGAUGGAGGGGGACGGUCGUUUCCGCGACCGUGUAUUAGUGGGCCGUGCGGGUCGCUCGUCGGACCAGACCGCACCAGAGCACAUCCGACCCCUCUGUCUCGACCUCGACGACCGCCGCCGCCGCUGCCACCGUCGUCUCGCCGCCGUCCGCCGGUCCGCCAUGGUUUCCUGGAGCGAGGGGUCAAGCUCUUCUUCUUCGAACGACGAGUCAGUGACUAGCCAGGUACGUUCAUUUGGGGAUUCCAACAUUUAGGGUUAGGGUUAGGGUUCUUGAGUUGGGGAUUUCUUACCAAGUCACUGAUUUCUUCAAUCUCUUUGGUUUUAAGCUUCCUAGGACUAUCCCAUGCUAUGAAUGGAGUGGCAUUGCUCAUGAGCUCUCCUCUCGCUGUCUGCAUCGCGAGCCUUGCCUCAGGCUAGUAGCAUUUGAAUCUACGGACAUUGGCCGACGUUUUCUUGCUUGCGCUGAGGAGAAGGUAUGUUGGUUAGUACUGUAUUUAGUUAACCUUAGUUAGUUUUUGCUCCAUUCAAAUGCCAGAAGGAAAUUUUGCUCUGCUUAUUAGUGUGAACAAUUGUCAUUGCCCACAGUUGGAUUUAAUUAUGCUCUUACAGUAGUAAAUUAUGCUAUGCCAGUGUAAUUUGCUCCAAAUAAUUAAGUAGUGUACAACAUUGUUAGUUCCAGUAGGAAAUUAUGCUAUGGCAGUGUAAUUUGCUCAAAUAAUUAAGUAGUGUACAACAUUGUUAGUGCCAGCACUAAAUUUGUACUUACUAAUGACAACAUAUAUUUAGUUUAUAUGCUGUUAAAAGUGACAAAAAUUUCUUAUUGACAACACAUAUUAAUUUGAUAGGCUUUCUUAAUUGUUUGUGCAUUUAAAUGAACACAAUUUGAUAGGCUUUCUUAUUGACAACACAUAUUAAUUUGAUAGGCUCUCUUGUGUAGUAUGAUUGACAAUAUAUUUUUCUGAAUUAUAGGCUGAACUAAAGUGCAACUAUCUGGAGUGGAUAGAUCCUGAGUGGUCAGUGGCUAUGCAGUUCUGCCUAACUGAAUUGUGGGGCAUGUAUGACAAAGAAAUCAAUGACAGGGUGAGAGACAAUGUUCAACUUGGUGAUCAGAAUUACAAAUUAGUUGGAGAAAAAAGGAAGAUGGAAGAAGAGCUGAGAUUUUCAAACUUGAUUUUGCAAAAAUGGUGGUUGACAAGGAGGAUGCUAUUACUGAGCUGGGCAAUACUAGGUUGGAUCUCAAUGAUCUGAAAGAGGAUAUGGAGAAGAAGAAGCUAGCAAACCAUGGUUGCACAAACCUACAUCAGUUACUCAGGGCAAAGGCAGAGAAGGAGAGGGACAAGCUUGUGGUAGAGAGAGACCAAGUGCUCAUAGAGAGAGACCAACUAAAGGAAGAGAAGAAAAAGCUAGAGUACAUCAUCUCUGAUUUGCUGAAACAGAAGCAUGGCUACAAGGACAAGAUCAAGAAGUUGAAGGAGAUCUGUGAUGAAUUUUAAUUAUGUGAUGUGGCAUUGUACUGGUGUAGUUGUGCUCUGUUGCACUGAAUAAUCAGCCCUACUAGAAGUGCACUGUACUAUUGUAAUGGUUAAAUUUGUACUGAAUUAUGCAGUUUUUAUCUGCAAGUCUAGAUUUUGAACUUAUGGCAUGAAUUUGAACUUAAUUUGUAGUGCUAUCUCUUGUAUCAUAUUGAGUACUCUAUUAUAUUUACUUCACUCCAGGUGAAACUGCUGUGAUAGUCAAAUUAUUGUGCACAGAAAAAUUUGAAAUACUAGUAACUUAUGGCAUGAGUAUACCAGGAACUUUCAUUAUUAUUAUGCACAUAAUGUGAUGAUCAGGGAGUGCAAACAACAUAGCAGUACAGAGUAAAUGUAGCAGUGCAAGCACAUAAUUGUAGAUAUGUACAUGAUGAUUGAAGCAAGCCAACAUAGUAGUACACAAGAAUAAUAGAUAGUAGUUCCUCAUGGUAUAAAACCAAGAUCCAUACAUAGGUUUAGCAUAACAUUACACAACAGUAGUUCAUAGUGGCACACAUAGGUUCGACACAGCAUUACAUAAGUUCAAAUUUAGUGUUGGCAUAGGUAAAGUGCUCUAGUGCCUGAUGGAGCACACAUGCACUUGGAUACAUAGUCAAACAAGAACUCUCAGUAGUUCCCACUGGCAUAGAAGUACCCCUCCAUCAUUUUGCUCAUGUAUCUUGCCCUUUUCGGCCUAUUUCCUGUUGGCUGGCUAGUUGAAGCUUCUGCAGUAGUUCUUGGAGGAUUGAAGCUUCUUGCACCUGUUUUUGCACCUCUCCUUGCAGCAGCAGUACCAACACCAGAAGGAGAAGAAUUUGCAGCUCUAGCAGAUGAACCAGCAGCUCUAGCAGAUGUAGCAGCAGCUCUAGCAGAUUUGCCCCUUGAAGCAGCAGCAGCAGCAGCAGAUCCCCUUGAAGCAGAUGUAGAGCUUGCACCCCUAGGAGUUGUUGUACCAGAUGUUGAGCUUCCCCCUUGCUGCCAUGCAGGGGCUGUCCUGUUUUCCUGCAAUUAUUUUUGUUGGAUAAAUUUCAGUGAUACUUAAUGAGUGAUGAGAUAGAGAAGGAAGUCAAAAAUAACAUACCAUGUGUUUGUUCUUCCUGAUUUGCAGAUAUGGCCUCAAUGGCUUUGCACAACUUGUGUAUUUGUGGCCCUGCAACUUGCAGUUACUACAAGUUAUUGUAGCCAUUCUUGAUGUCUGCUUUGCUUGAGGAGGAUCAAACCUGCCUUUCUUCCUUUUCUCUUCUGCUGGUCCCUUCUUGUCUUCUUUGAACUGAGGUGGGUCAAUGUCAGGAGUUGCAGUUUUCACCCAACAAUCAGGACCAGGAACUGGGUAAAUGAUAGGCUUGUAUGACUCCAAGUACAUAGCCUUUUUGAAGAAAAUAUUUACAUGGUCCUUUGGUAGUUGUUUGGACCUGUAGAUGGCAGAACAACCAUGGUUGCAAGGAAUUCCAGAGAUGUCCCACUUCUUACAACCACAUGUUUUCAGAUUAGUGUCAACAGAGUAGGUCUUAUCCCCACUACUCACUUGGAAAAGACCUGGUCCAGCUAUCAAUGAUUUGCAGUCCCUUGCAUAUCUCUUGUUCAUCUCUAACCUCUCAGCAUAAGUUGGUGCAAUUUCCCAUCUUGAAACUAGUCCACCCUCUCUCUUUUGCUGAUACCUUACCAGAAGUUUGUCCUUGUUCCCACUGAUCAUGGUGACAAUUGGCUUGUUCCUUACAUCAAGUAUGUACUUAUUAAAAACUUCACUUAAGUUAUUAACAACCAGAUCAGUUUUGCAGUUAGUAUCCAUUGCAUGUCUUGACCAAGCUUUUGGAGGAAUCCUUGACAUCCACUCCCAAGCAGCCUUGCACUCAGCCUUCAUGCUCUCCAUUGCCAACUGAAAGUCAUGUUCAGUGUAAGCAUAUGCAGCUGCAUCCAUGCAUUUCUUCAAGUCUUCUCCUCUGAAUCCUGCUUUCUGAAAGUUGGCAUAAAUGUGCCUCAAGCAGUACCUAUGAGGGCAGUUGGGAAAGACUGCUAUGACUGCAUUCAACAGACCCUGCAAAGGAUUUUGAAUUUGUUAAAAUGAAAUAAAUUAUCAAAACAAAUUUUAAUUCAAUUUAAUUGUUGUAGUAAUAUCAUAUUGAUUUAAUAUUACAUUAAUUUAAUUCAAUUUAGUAUCGACAAGAUGCGUUACCACUCGACACAUGCCAACUAGGGUAGGUGGGAGGUUGGUUGGGCUAUGGUGGCCCAUAAGGGUCACCCUAGGCUAUCUUGACCAAAGUAUCGACAAGAUGCGUUACCACUCGACACAUGCCAACUAGGGUAGAUGGGAGGUUGGUUGGGCUAUGGUGGCCCAUAAGGGUCACCCUAGGCUACCUUGAUCGAAGUGUCGACAAGAUGCGUUACCACUCGACACAUGCCAACUAGGGUAGGUGGGAGGUUGGUUGGGCUAUGGUGGCCCAUAAGGGUCACCCUAGGCUACCUUGACCACUAUACACAUGCCAACUAGGGUAAGUGUUCAACAAAUUAAUGAACUAAAUACACUAAAUGCAGAACUAAUUAGACUAAAUACACUAAAUGCAUAACUAAUUAAACAAAUUAAUGAACUAAUUAGAGUACUAUUUUAGGGACAAGUGACGAUGUAGAUAAACUCACCUUCUGUCUAUCAGACAUGAAUGUGUACUUCCCAAAUUUUCCCUCUUCAGUCCCUCCUAGGGCAUAUUUGAGUUGAGUCAAAAACCAUGACCAAUUUGGUGUGUCUUCAACUCCAACCACUCCAAAUGCUAUGGGGUACAUAUUGUUGUUUGCAUCCCUUCCAGUAGCAGCUAGUAUUUGUGCCCCACUAGUUAACUUAAUGAAACAACCAUCUAGGCCUAUGAAUGGCCUGCAUCCAUUCAAAAAUCCCUCAACAGAUGCAUUCAAACAGAAAAAAAGACCAUGAAACCUUGGUCCUGCAGUUGGGUUUUCUCUUGUUUUUCCACUCACAGUACUGACAAUGCAUCUUGAUCCAGGAUUUGUAGCCUUCACAGUCUCCAAAAAAUCUCUCAGCCUCUUGUAUUGCCUCUUGUGAUCUCCAAGCACAAUCUCCUUUGCUUUCCUUUUUGCUCUCCAUGCCAUCAUCUUGGGCACCUCAACACCAAACUGCCUCUUUACCUUGUCAACUAUAGCAGGUAUAGUAGUGUUGGGGUCUGAUCUAAUAGUUUCAAGCAUUUUGUUGCCAAGCUACUUGGAGCUGACCCUUGUCUUGUCAGAUUGGGUGGGACAGGUGUGCUCCAAUACCAUCUUCUUAAUGCAGAAAGUGGGCUCAUUACUGAUCUUUGUUGCAACCAUGUGGAACUGACAGCCCUCUCCAUCACAACACACUAUUACCCUAUCACUGCAGUUUCUGUGAUAUUUGUAUCUUCUAAGUUGUUUCACAUGCAAAUUCACAAGAGCCUCUCUAAACUGGUACACAUCUCUGAAACAAAGCCUAAGCUGGAAUUGCUGCUCUGGAUGCAGUCUGCCCUCAUCAUACCAGACCCUAGGUGGUCUUUUCUUAGCUCUGCUCUUUCUACCAGAGGAGAUUAUAAAAGACAUAGGUUCAUUGCCAUCAUCAUCAGCUUCAAAGCCUGUAUCAUCCUCUUCUGAAGAUGGAUACCAGUCCUCAUUCAUGCUUCUGUUAGCACUAGAGUGGGACCUACUAGUAGGCCCAGGCCUCCUUAUCUUCUUCUGAACAGGCUCAGGAACUGCUAUCUCUUGACAGUCAUCAUCCUCUUCCUCCAAGUCUAUGUCAUAUAAAUCUUCAGGGUCUGUGUCUCCUUCACAGUGUGUACUACUCAUGUAUUGAGCUCUCUUCCUCUUAAUGUCAGCAAUUGUGUCUUUCAGAUCACUGCCCACUUUCCUCCUCUGUUCUUCUUCUCUAGCUACAUUAUCUUCUUCUUCAUAGUCCAUGGAAUCUGAAUCUGCAUCUGAGAGGUCUUCAUGAGCUACAAAGUCUUCAUCAAAUACUGAGUCAUCAUCUUCAUCAGAUGUGUCCUCAUUUCCUGCAUACUCUUCCUCAUCUGUAUCAAACUGGAAAUCUGCAUAAUUAACACUAACUUGAGUGUUAACCUGCUGCAAUGCAUUAUUUUCCUCAUCUGCAUCUACCAUCUCUGGCUCAAUUGGGUGAUCGUGCGUCCCAAGCAGUAACUGGCAUGGUGGAGGAACUGAUUUUAUUGGCAUAUAGUUCACACUUUCUUGUGUACCAAGAAAAUAUGAUGAGCCAACAUGAUCAGUGUUUGUUUUGUGCACAACACCUGACUCAUUAACAGCAAAUACAACUGGUGGGUCCACUGUUAAAUCUUCAAUUGUUUCAUCUGGGUCCACUUCUUCAUCUUCUGCACUUUUGUUAACUGGUGUUUGCAUUAUAUCUAAUUUCCCCUCUUUAACAUACAAACACAGUGUCUGACUGUUUUUAAACUGCUUUAUCAUCUCAUCCACUUCGGUGUUGUUUCUGACGAAAGUAAUCCCUUGCAGCCCUGUGCAAUCCUUCCUCAAGUAGCAAAUACUGUCAUCACUUCCAUACCCAUUUCUGACCAUCACACUAAGCAAACUGCCAUAAGUGAUGUCUCUCUCAUACAUCUUCACAAGGGCAUAUUUUUGGUAGCAUCUUUAGAAGGAAACUGAAAAUAUAAUGACCAUGGCUCCUCAGGCCUACAAAACACAAAACAUAUUAAUGACCAUGACAUUUUUAGUAACAUUUUCAAGCCUACAGAACACAAAUCAAAUUCAUGACCAUGACAUUUUGAGUGCCACAAUAAAAACUAUGACAUAUUCACAUAUAAAACAAAGUAACAGCAAUAAGAUCUAUGCCACAAGAGCUAACAAAUGCAGAAUAAACUAUGAUACAUUUAGUAAUUCAGAAAAAAACAACGAAAAAACUUCAUCUAGGCAUAGGAGCUUCCUCCCCCAACGAAGCAGUAUUGCUAGAAGUAACCCUAGGCAUCCUAACUAACUGAGUACUCUAACUAAGCAGUAUUGCUAGAACCCUAACCCUAGGUUUUUGCACUGAGAUUUACCUGGGUGGAGAUGGAUGCCCGGGGGGUACUUCCUCCCCCAACGAAUCAGCCGCCGCCGACGCCUUCUCCGCAUCCGCAACAUCCUUCUCUGCCUCCUCCGCAUGCUGCGACGGUGGCGGCAGGACAGCUUUUCCCCAAUCCGCCGUCGAGUGCGAAUCGCCAUCGGGGUUGGGGCCCAAGUUGCCAACGGGGUCGCAUUGCGGGCGGCGGCCACCGGAAGAAUGACCACCGCCGCCGGAGCCGUCGAGACCUUCUCCGCCAUAGCCGCCGCCGGAGCUGGUCGCCAUGAGCAGAGCAGGAGGAACGCGCGGGAGGGAAACUGAAUCGGGGAUUGGAGGACGAAACGGCAGGGGCGUGACCUAAUACACGGUCGCGGAAACGGCCGUCCCCCUCCGUCUAACGGCGUCCGUCAGCCCGCGCCACGUCGACCCGACAGGUGGGCCCGACCUGUCGGUUUCGCUGUUUCCGCGGCUAAAACGACUAGUCAGUGCUCCGUGGUACCGAUUAGUCCCAGAGUUGGUGGUUUUUUGUGACAUGGCUUAAAUGUGGUACCGACCGGUUACCCUAGCCCCAAGUGUAGUGGUUUUGGGUAAAUAACUCAGAUAUCGGGAGUAGAAGCAAAGCAUUUAUCUGCACAAAAGGUCUCUCUGAGCCUGUUACUAGCGCAAAUAAAGAACGACGAGCGAUCUGAAAGUACCUGCUCUAGCAACUCCCUGGAUGGGUCGCCCUCAGGGAAGUGGCAGGCCCAUCCCUUGGACCAGAUCUCAAACGCUUCAUCUUUCCAGACCAUGAAGCUCGCCGGGUCAACGCUGUCCUCGGUGAUCUCCUUGCCAGGGAACACUCCCCAUGUGACAGCGUUCACAGCGUUCGGAGGGAUGUUCGAGAACGACUCGCCUUCCUUGUUCACGGCGAUGUACGUGAGGGAAGGGAACACGUUGCUCUUCUCGAUGAGUUGGUCCGGCUUCUCCUUCGUGCAGAAGAAUUCCACGUAGGCCUUCUGGUAAACGUAGCCUCCUGGGCCGCCCCAUCCUGCAGAACAGAGCAGACAAUAAAGCAGGUUUACUAAGGCACACACCACACAGAGCUAUAGAAAAAUUACUGAAACAUGGAUGAAAAAGGAAAAUGCUAUCACACGGAAGAGACUUGAUUAUUAGAGUCCGGCGAGGCAUGUUCUUUGCGACUGUUUGAUAUGAGUAGCACUAGCUUGUAUGCUGAUAACCGAAAUAGACAUAGCUCUAUAAUGUGCUGAGAUACUGGUUCGUGCUGUGUGACUGCAAAUUAUUAGUGCAUACUCACUCUGUCCGAAAAAGUUUGUUUCUCAAAUGGAUGUAUCUAGAACGAAAUUAGUGCUAGAUACAUCCAUUUGAGAGACAAGCUUGGGACAAGAUUUUUCGGACGGAGGGAGUAUCAAACACACUGCAUUGGCUUGUAUUUUUGCACGUCAAAUGAGCAUCGGUUUCACUGCGUUGAAUCCAUAAACAAUUGAACAACUUUCGCAUCAGAAAUUCAGAGACUAGACUUGCUGAUGCAUGGACUAGUGGCAUUUUAAGUAGUACAAUAGGUAAAGGGUUUUAUGUCUGAAAAUACAGUCCUGUACUUAAACCUCUCCCAGUAGUACCAGGAGAAGACCAAGCAUACAGACAAGUAGAUUUAACGUACCAACACUAGGAGAAUCAUAUUUCUCUCCAUUUACAGCAGGUUGGCUGUUGAUGGUAAGGAAACCCUUCAAGUUGAUGUUCACCACCUGAUCGUCAACUAUCUUCGUAUCGGCGGGUUGAAGACCGCAUAGCUCAGACCAUAGGCUGCUUUCAAGUUUUCCUUGACAGAAUCUCACGAACCGCUGCAAGUGAGAAAGACAGGUUAGCAAAAACAGUGAAGCCUUUGAAAUUGUUUUUAUGCCAUACAGAGCAAAUGGGCAAUAAUAUGCUACUGUAUCAUGUACGUAGCUCAAGGGUUACCUCAAUAAUGUCUUGCACAGAUGUCAGUGGAACAGCCCAUUCGUCUUGGCCGUGUGAGCUGUGAAAGCAAAGAAUAGCCAAUGCCCAACAACUGAAUUACGUUGCCUUAGUCGUACUUGCAUUGGUUCUAAAAAACAGAGUGUAUUUCUUUAUGGAAGACCGAGACUACAAUUUGUACUGAUUCUGAACUACUAUCUGUACAUAAAGAACUAACUAAAUACCCAACCAUUUGAGAGUAUUAUGAAGCUUCAAAUUCAAAGAACAAGACGAUGAAAUUACCUGGUGGCCGUGAAGUGCCAGGCAUGAUGGGUUUCUGGAAUCGCCCCACCGCCCAACCAACCUGCGGUCUGCUAGCCCUGCUCGGAUACUCGCAUGGAGAAAAACAGCUCAGCGGAACAAGUCUAGUAGUGCAAAUGGAUCAAGAAAUCUUCUCAUCAGACGAUCGACCGACCGUGUGUGUGAUGUAGAUGUGUGGAGCAGGGAAACGGGACAGGCGGCGGCCCGCAGAUGGGAAGGAAUCGGCAGGCGGCGAGGAGGCGCCCUGGUCGGUGAUGAGUCGCGUACUAGGGCACUGGCACGGCGGCAGGCGAGCGGGGGAAGGGGCGAAGCGAACAGGGCAACAGGCUGCGGCGAUCGGUAAAAAUGGGGGCAGGCGUGGGCUGGGCACUGCGUGUUUUGGUUAUGGGCUGCAAUCUGGGCAAUUAGACGUGGGCUGUGCUCGUUUCGCUGCUGGACUUUUUAUUUUAUUCGGAUUAGCUAGCAUCUUGUGCACUAGUGAAUUCAGGUAGUAGCAUUCUUCUAAUGUUCUUACGGUGGCUGGAAAAUUGUCUACUGAUGUCUACUUAUGCACUUCUAUUCAUGUACUCUAUUGGGCCUCCAAGCACUAAUGAUUUUAGGACAACAGCAAUUUUUUCUCAAAUGAAUGACCUAAGAUUUAUCAAUCCCCGGAAGGUGUACGUUGAGAGUGAUCCUCUCGAAGAACACUGUAAUCAAAUACAAGUAGUUUCUUAUGUCCCCCACAAGCCUAAUACAACUGUUAGUUGUAUAGGAGCACUUGUUCAUCGAAGAGAUGAUGAUAUUAAGAAACAGUAAAAGGGGGCGAGCUACAGCUCCCCACAACGAUUUGAAGUUCUUGGCCGUCCGAUCACACUUAUCCACGGUUCAGAUCUCUGGGUCGUUUCACCGCUUGCAUGUGCUCGUUUCUUAACCUCUCAAAUCGCGUGACCUGCUCGGCCCACGAUAACUGGGCAGCUGCUCCGCAGGCCGACCUGGGAGUUAUCUCCUUAAUCGGGCCCGACAGUCAAAGGCGCCCAUAGGCCCAAUAACAGCAAACUCCCGAAUCGUUUAUCUUUCGGGAGCAACUAGUUAACGAGCGCUCCUUCGGGAGCUUCGCAACGAUCAGCGCCAUUUGGCGCGCUCUCAUCCAUUCGCCACGUGUCGCGCUCUGGACGCUCCCUCCGGAUUUUUUUUAUUUUUUUGCACGCGUUUUCGGCUUUUUAAACGGUUUUUCCCCGGGGUUUUCGACGUUUUGGUUUUCUCCCGGUAUUCCUUAGUUUUUCGAUAAAAAAUUGAUUUUUCAUGAAAAAACGCGUUUUUUCUUUCUUUCGCGAAAGUCACGGUUUUUUUCGCAAGAGACACGGUUGUGCUUUAGCGAGAGUCACGGCCGUGCCUUUCGGAAACAAAAAAAGAAACACGUUUUUUGUUUUUUUUCCUUUCGUGAGAGUCACGAUUUUGCUUCCGUGAGAGGCACGGUUGUGCUUUCGCGAGAGUCACGGCCGUGCCUCUCGAAAAGGGAAAAGCAAAACGCGUUUUCUGUUUUUUUUCUUUCACGAGAGUCACGAUUUUUCUUCUGCGAGAGGCAUGGUUGUGCUUUCGUGAGAGGCAUGGCCGUGCCUCUCAGAAAGGGAAAAAAUACGCGUUUUCUGUUUUUCUUUUCAUUCGCGAGAGGCACGGUUGUGCUUUCACGAGAGUCACAGUCGUGCCUCUCGGAAACGAAAAAACGUGUUUUCUGGUUUUUUUCUUCCACGAGAGUCACGGUUUUGCUUCCACAAGAGGCACGAGUGUGAUUUCGCGAGAGGCACGGGCGUGCCUCUUUGGGAAAGGAAAAAAACCGUGCUCCCGGUUUGGUUUUUUUGCCCGGUUUUUUUCGUCCGGUUUUUUCAUGAAAAAAAAGUUUGUCAAAACCUAUCAACAUAGGAUCUAGUUUUGAAGAUCUCAACGCGAGGAAUCCAAUGAUGAAAACGUUUCGAGAUUUGGACGCACGGUUUAAAAGAUAAAACAUUUUGAAUAAACGGAUCUAUGAAAAAAGAGAAAACUCCCAGGCCGUCGCAACCUGGGAAAGUGGAGUGUUCUUUGCAACGAGUACUCCUUAGGGCAUGUACAAUGGUUGAUAAGAUAGUCUUAUCUUAAGUUUUGCAUGUUUUUUAGAGAUGACAAAAAAAAUGUCUACAAUGGAUCAUUUCUUAGUCUUAUCUUCAAUAACUAGCAAUUCCUAAAAAUAUGGUGAGACAUAUUAUGCUACGAGAUCAUCUCUUGUCUUAUCUUAAAUAAAAGAAGACAAGCCUUCUCUUAUGAGUUCUCUCUUCUUCAUCUCAUCAUUUAUUCUACGUGGCAUUUCUAAGAUAACAUCAUUGUACAGGCCCUUAAUUAGUGAUUUCGUUAUCUCUCUCAGGAAAAAAAACUAUCCCCAAUCAAUUCCAAUCCCCACGAGUCUGUUCGUCUCGGCGGCGGCUGCGCGAAGGGGGUCGCUUCAUUCCCAUAUCUCUCUGCUUCGCUCAUCCACGAACCUCCGUCUCGCCGCUGCCGCCGUCACCGCCACCGCCCCCAUCAUUCCCCUCUGACCAUGUCUCCUCAGGCGAACCAUGGGUGGGCCGCCGCGGCCAGGUCCUAACCGUAGCCAUCCACCCGUUUUUCUCCCCCGCUACAACGCCGUGAGGGGCAGCAUCAGCAACGCGAGAAGGAUAUGGAGGCAAUAAUGCGGUUGAUUUCUUAUAUAUCGUUCGGUUCUAGAUGCCUGUCCUUCUCUUCGCUCUGUUUUGUCCAAAUCCUAACUCAUAAAUCGUGAGUUCGUUCCGUGUUUUUUUUUUGUGGUUCCCUCAGCCGAUGCAGCUAUAUUGAAAGAAGAUUACCUUCUACCGUUUUCACCAUGGAUGUGUGAUGAUUCUUUCUUGUCGUGGCUUGGAUAUAGCUGCUCACUGCUCCCAUCUAAUGUGUAUCAUCGCAUUUUUAAAGGAGAAAAACUGUUUGAAGAUGUAUGGGUACAACUUAUUUUUUAACGUUGGGCAAUGACAGCUUCAUGCAGUAAAUCUUGGAGCAUUUUUUAAAGUAUGCUUGUUUUAUUAUUCAGUAUAGUUAAAUAUUUCAGUUUGGGUAACCAAAACUGAAGCCUUGCAUCUAUUUAAAAAUUAGAUACGAUUAUACUCUAAUUGAUGCAGUUAUAAUUUGACUACCUAUGUAUGUAUUGCUUCGUCUGCACUUGCAAGAUCAUAAUAGGUAGUGCUUCAUCAUAAGCUAUUUUGUUUAACUUCUGACUUAACCACCCAUGCGCUUUCAUGCCUUGGGCAAACCAUUGGUGCGUUGCUGUCACCACUCUUCAAGAUUAGAGGAAAGGAUGAAGGACGAGGACCAGGAUGCAGCAUGGUCACAAAAGGUAAUAAAAAGCCUUACAGUUGUUCAUGUUAUUUCUGUGCAUAAUUUGUCACGAAAUUUAGUCAUUCCUUGUCACAAGUCAUGAAAAGGUUGCAAUGGAUCUCUUUUCCUGAAAAUGUGUGUGUCCUUGCGGAAAUAAAAUCUCAUGAAGAAGCAUUUGGUGUGGUUUGUGGAUUGAUGGAAUGCAUGCUUGCCAAGUCUAUUUCAAUAUAUUUUUCUUACUACUAUAGAAAUGCAUCCAGUGACAUCGAUAAUAAGAAAUAGCCAAGCUUAAAAUAUGCAACAUAUUCUUUUGCUACAGACCUAUUUAACUUUCAUUUUCCACAUCUAUACUUAUAGAAGUACAUAUCAUUUAUUUGUAAAAAUAGACGGGCGCAGCGACGCGCGCCAUAAUGAUCUAGUAUGUGUAUAUGGAUGGUAAAGAUAGCUUUCUGUAAUAUGAAUAAAUACAAGCAGCAAGGUAACAAGUAACAAAGUGAAUAAAAAUGGCAUUUCAAUUCUUGGAAACAAGGCCUAGGGUUCAUACUUUCACUACUGCCAACUCUCAACACCAUUAGCAUAGUUAAACAAUAGGAUAUGACCUCAAAAAGGGCAGUAAAUAAUCACUCUAAAGUUCCCUCUUUUGUCGGCUCGAAGUAGAUGAGGUCGCUUAGGUACGCAAAUAGCCAACCACCUCGAAGCCAUCUUGCUAAUCUUAAUCUAUUGAGCCACCUCAUUCUCAUCUCAGGGAGCUCCAGAAAUUAUACUAGGACAUCAUCGUAUGAUCUUUAUCAUUCUAACAUAUUAUCCAUAGAGUUACCCUAAUAUCAUUACAGGUCUCUGAAAGUUAUGCUAGACAUGCAUCAUGUAAUCUCAAUGAUUACCAAAAGAUUCAAUUCACCACAAACAUAGUUUGAAGGGGACACAUCACGUGAUUCAAUUGUAUUAAGAAAACCCUUGAUCACAAUCAUCAACAAAAAAUUCCAUGACCAAGAGGAGAUAGAUCACAUAGCUACUAGUACAUACUCUCAACCCCGAGAGAGAACUACUCACACAUCACCAUGAGAAGAGAAAUAAUUGUUGGUGAUGGUGAUGGAGACGGCGGAGAUGUCCACGACGGUGUUCUGACGCCACUAGAGACGAGGGGGGAGGGGCUUCCCUCCUUAUUCCUUGGCUUUCUCCCCUGGUUAGAGGGGUGUUUUCCCCUCUGGUUUUCGCGGUUUUGGUGGCUUUGAGACGAGAGCCUCCAUCGAGAUUGGNNNNNNNNNNNNNNNNNNNNNNNNNNNNNNNNNNNNNNNNNNNNNNNNNNNNNNNNNNNNNNNNNNNNNNNNNNNNNNNNNNNNNNNNNNNNNNNNNNNNNNNNNNNNNNNNNNNNNNNNNNNNNNNNNNNNNNNNNNNNNNNNNNNNNNNNNNNNNNNNNNNNNNNNNNNNNNNNNNNNNNNNNNNNNNNNNNNNNNNNNNNNNNNNNNNNNNNNNNNNNNNNNNNNNNNNNNNNNNNNNNNNNNNNNNNNNNNNNNNNNNNNNNNNNNNNNNNNNNNNNNNNNNNNNNNNNNNNNNNNNNNNNNNNNNNNNNNNNNNNNNNNNNNNNNNNNNNNNNNNNNNNNNNNNNNNNNNNNNNNNNUUUCAUAUGCUGUUUUUUGAGUCCCGUCGGCAUUUUGUAUAUUCCCGGAGAUUUGUAACUUUCAAAAAAUAUGCAAAUUUUAUAGUUUUAACCUAAAUACUCUUCUCCCCCACGGGGUAUGGUAUCUCUUCGAUCAUAUCUUCACAUCUAAAACCCAUUUUUAUUCCCCCACACUUCCUUGCCCACAUUUGAGCUAUUCUUGGGGAGUAGGAGGGGCAAGUUGAGAUCCAAGUAUUCGUCCUCUUUUGGCUGAUGAAAGAUUUGUGCAAGUUUCCAAGACUCUUUGAUUUUUUUUUACUCUUGGAGGUUGUAGGUAAACUUUAAGGCCAGGGUCAAUUUGUUCGGUUCGUGAGAAUUAGAGAUGGGGAACGAGAGUUGUGGGUGAGGGGAUUAAAAGUCCAUUAAUUGUGUAGAGGGAAUGGAAGUUUAAGUGAGAAGAGAAAUGAGAGUUGAGGAAGUCAACUCCAUCCGAUUUGUGGGAAUGGCCUUGUUAAUUUGUCGUUAGGCUCCAUCCCAAACUAAUUUUCAUGAUGUACCCAACAAAGCAAAAAAUAUAUUUCCUCCAACAAAGAUAGCUACCCUUUCGCCAAACAAACAACAACAAAAUCAUACAAAGAUUAGCUUCCCUCCAAGGAAAUGAACUUAGAGAUCAUCAUCACUCAUGCCAACUUUACUUCUUCCUAUCUCUUAUUACUUUUAUAACUAAUUUAGGUUGCUAAAUUGCUUAUCAUAUAUGAUCAGUUAGUUACAUUUGCAGAGAACUUAUAAUUCUACAAAUAUCUAAAAUCAGCUGCAAAACGUUCGUAGUCGUCUGUUCAAGCCCCCCUCUCUCCCUAGUUGACAUCUUCAAUCCUUCAUAGAUGAGUGGUUCUCAUUUGAAAUUACUCCCUCCGUUCCUAAAUACUUGUCUUUCUAGGCAUUUCAACAAAUGACUACAUACAGAGCAAAAUGAGUGAAUCUACACUCUAAAAUAUGUCUACAUACAUCCGUAUGUAGUAGUCAUUUGAAAUGUCUAGAAAGACAAGUAUUUAGGAACGGAGGGAGUAUAACCCAAGUAAUGAACUGAGCUUCUGUCGUGGCAGUAAACUGUAUUACCACGUAUAUACAUUAAAAAGGCUUCAACUCAUCAUUGGGUAAAAUAAACCUAGGUAACAAAUAAGCUAGACAAGUGGAGAGACUGCACACGAAGGAACACAGAUAGAAAAUUCUUAUUCAUAGAGUGGUUUGGAUAAAUCGACAGAAAUCACGACAAAUCAUAUUACAGGACUCUAGCGAAGGGCGGUCAAACGCAGCAUACUGUAAGGUCUCAUCGAAAU